UUAGAAGCCAAAGAUCCCACAGCGUGUCCUCUCCUACUAUGCACGGAUUCCCCUUGUGCUGACCCUAAUUCUCAGCCGGAGCUCACUCCCGUCUCUCUGUUAGAACCUUCUCACCUUGGUCAGUGCGGUCCCUGAGAUAUGUCAUGUGGGCAAACUACAGCAGCAGCCUGACUCCUCCUGUCUCUCCUUUCCCAGGGAGGCUGUGCCCAGGAAGAUGAAAAUGGCCUCAGCCCCUCAUUUACAAAGUGCUACAGGAUUCCUACUGCCCCGACUGGGCAUUGUGAAAAUAGAAACCCAAAAUAUUGUGCAAUGAGAAAAUACAAGCAUGAAGCUGAAGCAGGAAGUUAAAGACAAUGAAAAUACCAGCUCUAGCCCCAUCCCUGGGAAAACAAGCAACAAGCAUAUCAACCACCACUGAAAAGCUUUAGAGUAUACCCAAGAGAAAUGUUUGCUUAUGGGCAAAGCCCAGACUCAUCAGAACCAUACAUCAGGCCUUUUGUGAUUUGGCCCCACCUGCUCAUUUCUCAUGAUUAAGCCCUCCCUCCUCACUCCUUCCUUCCCAAGUAUCUGGUGCAACAACCAAACCAAACCAUUAUCCUAAAAACCCGAUGUGUGCUUUCAAGCUUCCAUGAAGUUGUGACUUCUCUUCCAAAGGCUCCUUCUCCCUAUUUCUAUCUGGUGAACACCUCUCACUCUUCAAAUGACAUCUUCACCCUGCAUCUUUUCAUAAACACCAUCGCCUUGACCCUCAAAUAUUUCAAUGAAAAGACUUCCAAGGCAACAAGGAAUGUGAUUCAGUGUCCUAAGGAGUUGGAUGUCCUGGCUGGAGGGACAUUAGACAUCUCAUGGUUGAAUUUUCCUAUUGUUCAGAAAUCCUGUCAAUAAAGACCCUUGGCACUAAACAGAAGGUGGAAAAUUAAAGAAGCGCUGUAUUUUCACAACACCUGGCCUAGAUUUAUGGCACUGAGCAUGCCCCCUCCCUUCCUGGAUCUUCGUGUCCUGUUCUGCAAGAUGGCAGCCUGGGACUCCCUGAAGUCUCCUUUGAGACCCCUCACCUCUGGCAUCUUGGGAAUCAAACAUUUUACACCAAGAAUUUAGCACCCUUUACUUUCUCCCCGAUUUCCUUUCCUCCCCAUACAUGGGCUUUAGUAAUAGAAUCAUAGGUUUGGUUACCAGGUUAGAAGUAUGAUUAGUUUUUGCCUUAUAUGUGUUAUUUUUAGAUAACUUUUUCCUUUUACAGUUGCUUUGUCUUAUAGCCAUAUUUAUAACCUUUCAACUGAGCUCUAUGUUUGCUACAUUUCAGUGGUUCGCACUGGUCCUUUUAUAGACCUCGAUGUCUUCAUUCUUGGGUUCUUAUUUUUCUGUUGGUCUGUCUGUAUCUUCAAAAAAUAUUUUGAAAAGUACAUAUUGGGAUGCCUGGGUGGCUCAGGGGUUGAGCGUCUGCCUUUUGCUCAGGGCGUGAUCCCGGGGUCCUGGGGUUGAGUCCCACAUCGGGCUCCCUGCAUGGAGCCUGCUUCUCCCUCUGCAUAUGUCUCUGCCUCUCUCUGUGUGUGUCUCUUAUGAAUAAAUAAAUAAAAUCUUUUUAAAAAGUA
Molecule: long non-coding RNA, 1592 nt
Organism: Vulpes vulpes (red fox)
Lineage: Eukaryota; Metazoa; Chordata; Mammalia; Carnivora; Canidae
Source: Ensembl